GUCAAUGCAUCAGCAAAUCGUUGGUUUGCAAUGGGGAUUCUGACUGUGAUGAAGACAGUGCUGAUGAAGACAGAUGUGAGGACUCAGAAAGGAGACCUUCCUGUGAUAUUGAUAAACCUCCUCCUAACAUAGAACUUACUGGAAAUGGAUUCAAUUCAAAACCAGCUGUUGCCAUAGAUACAAAAGAGCCAUGUGUUUCCCAAAUAUGUUCUUAGACGGAAAGAAUGUUGGAUUUUCCAAGCCAUUAGUUUUAGCGAUUAUACCAAGCAGGGGAAGCUGGAUAAUGUAUGGUGUGCAUUAGGAUGCUGUGCUCUUCAUUUGAGCUCUCUCAAAGAAAUGUUUAACUGUAAUGCAUUUUAAGAAUUUCUAGAGUUCUCUAAUAAAUUUUUUUCCCACC
This 397-nucleotide small RNA is filed under the name Pongo abelii (Sumatran orangutan). RNAcentral's name for it is "processed transcript". Lineage: Eukaryota; Metazoa; Chordata; Mammalia; Primates; Hominidae. The record is from RNAcentral.